Small nucleolar RNA from Anneissia japonica, 83 nucleotides. RefSeq annotates it as small nucleolar RNA snR60/Z15/Z230/Z193/J17. The transcript has a single exon. NCBI's taxonomy places the organism in Eukaryota, Metazoa, Echinodermata, Crinoidea, Comatulida, Comatulidae. The record is from RefSeq and is a predicted model, not a curated record.
AGUGUUGCAAUGAUGUUUGCAUAGUUCAACAGAUUAAAAAUGAAGAAUAAGCCACAGGAUUUCGCCCCUAUCUGAUCAACAUG